Molecule: ribosomal RNA, 467 nt
Filed under: uncultured bacterium
Lineage: Bacteria
Description: partial 16S ribosomal RNA
Rfam family: Bacterial small subunit ribosomal RNA
Source: RNAcentral
GACGAACGCUGGCGGCGUGCUUAACACAUGCAAGUCGAACGGAAAGGCCCUGCUUUUGUGGGGUGCUCGAGUGGCGAACGGGUGAGUAACACGUGAGUAACCUGCCCUUGACUUUGGGAUAACUUCAGGAAACUGGGGCUAAUACCGGAUAGGAGCUCCUGCUGCAUGGUGGGGGUUGGAAAGUUUCGGCGGUUGGGGAUGGACUCGCGGCUUAUCAGCUUGUUGGUGGGGUAGUGGCUUACCAAGGCUUUGACGGGUAGCCGGCCUGAGAGGGUGGCCGGCCCCUUUGGGUCUGAGUAACGGCCCGCACCCCAUCGGGGGGAAGGGGGGGGGAAUUUUGACAAAGGGGCGGAAGCCUGAUGGAGCAACCCCCGGUGCGGGAUGGCGGCCUUCGGGUUGUAAACCGCUUUCGCCUGGGACGAAGGGGGAUGGCGGUUAAUGGGUAAAAAGACCCCGCCAAACUCCUU